Molecule: ribosomal RNA, 214 nt
Filed under: uncultured bacterium
Lineage: Bacteria
Description: partial 16S ribosomal RNA
Rfam family: Bacterial small subunit ribosomal RNA
Source: RNAcentral
UACGGAGGAUUCGAGCGUUAUCCGGAUUUAUUGGGUUUAAAGGGUGCGUAGGCUGUAAAUUAAGUCAGUGGUGAAAGGUUUGGGCUUAACUCGGACAGUGCCAUUGAAACUGAUUUACUUGAGUACAGAUGAAGUUGGCGGAAUGUGUCAAGUAGCGGUGAAAUGCAUAGAUAUGACACAGAACACCGAUAGCGAAGGCAGCUGACUAAGGUGU